This 253-nucleotide ribosomal RNA is filed under the name uncultured bacterium. RNAcentral describes it as "partial 16S ribosomal RNA". It matches the Rfam family "Bacterial small subunit ribosomal RNA", at positions 524 to 776 of the family's 1533-position model. The record is from RNAcentral.
GACGGAGGAUGCAAGUGUUAUCCGGAAUCACUGGGCGUAAAGCGUCUGUAGGUCGUUUAAAAAGUCUACUGUUAAAAAUUGAAGCUUAACUUCAAAGAUGCCGUAGAAACUUUUAAACUUGAGUAUGGUAGGGGUAGAGGGAAUUUCCAGUGGAGCGGUGAAAUGCGUAGAUAUUGGAAAGACCACCAAUGGCGAAGGCACUCUACUGGGCCAUUACUGACACUGAGAGACGAAAGCUAGGGGAGCGAAUAGG